GGGAGGUGGAGGUGGUGAGGGUGACUUUACAGGAAGAGAUUCUGACCAAAAAGCGUCCGGGGGGACGACGGUCAGUUUGCAGAGAGCUGCUCUCAGUCUGACAUGAGCUGCUGUGUUAUGUAAGUGUAACAUGGUGGAGGAGAGGUGGAGGAGCGGCCUGCUUCAUACAACACGCUCCGAACAUGUCGCCUUCUCCUCCACGUGUCACCUUCACACUCUCAUACAACAGACAAACAGCUGACGGACCAACACGACACUCAGAGCGUCACAGACGUCUCCGGGACAAACAAAGACGAUCAUGUCGUCAUGUUUAAUAUUUGCCAAAUUAACCAGAAGGCCCAAAUAAUGAAGAAUGAGUCAGAGACAGAGUCUCACAACGUUCUAAAGUUUGUUUUAACUCAACAACUCUUAAAAUUGCCACAUUUGUUAAUGGAGUCUGGUUUGUGUUCACAAACAUGAGCUACUUCUUUGUCCCCAGACUCCGUUAACAAACGUCUCAGUUUGGUGGCGUCCUGGUUGAAGCUGAUCCAGGUUCAGCCUCCUGUGUUCGUCCUCGUCAGUGUGACGGGCAGCAGCUGGUCUGAGGGAGGUUAUAAAACCUGCAGCAGGUCGGAGAACACAGAACACGAGUGUGUGUGUAGCUGUGUGAACGGGCUGUACAGAUCAUUCACAGUCCCAAAGUUCACUUCAUCGUAAUCCUGACAAACAGACAGAGCUCUCUUUCAGACGGGAUUACAUCAUUGUCUGAGAAACCCAAAAUAAAACUGGUUUAAAGGUUCCCGUGAGCUUUCUGGAGACCGAACAUGUCUGCACGCUUUAAUGUGGACUCAACACAUCCAGAUGAAGGCCCGGUCCACAUGAACGAUUAAAGGAACCAGAAUACAAGAAAACUCUAGUAGGGCAGAACCUCCAGAACCUCACUGGAUUGUCCCAUCCACACUUUAAAUGCUUUGUACGCUCACGUACA
Molecule: long non-coding RNA, 967 nt
Organism: Acanthopagrus latus (yellowfin seabream)
Lineage: Eukaryota; Metazoa; Chordata; Actinopteri; Spariformes; Sparidae
Exons: 2
Source: RefSeq, a predicted model, not a curated record